RNAcentral lists this ribosomal RNA (678 nucleotides) under Vibrio sp. RNAcentral describes it as "bacterial SSU rRNA". It matches the Rfam family "Bacterial small subunit ribosomal RNA", at positions 337 to 1006 of the family's 1533-position model. The record is from RNAcentral. Lineage: Bacteria; Pseudomonadati; Pseudomonadota; Gammaproteobacteria; Vibrionales; Vibrionaceae.
CCUUACGGGAGGCAGCAGUGGGGGAAUAUUGCACAAUGGGGGAAACCCUGAUGCAGCCAUGCCGCGUGUGUGAAGAAGGCCUUCGGGUUGUAAAGCACUUUCAGCAGUGAGGAAGGUGGUGUACUUAAUACGUGCAUCAUUUGACGUUAGCUGCAGAAGAAGCACCGGCUAACUCCGUGCCAGCAGCCGCGGUAAUACGGAGGGUGCGAGCGUUAAUCGGAAUUACUGGGCGUAAAGCGCAUGCAGGUGGUGGAUUAAGUCAGAUGUGAAAGCCCGGGGCUCAACCUCGGAAGGUCAUUUGAAACUGAUUCACUAGAGUACUGUAGAGGGGGGUAGAAUUUCAGGUGUAGCGGUGAAAUGCGUAGAGAUCUGAAGGAAUACCAGUGGCGAAGGCGGCCCCCUGGACAGAUACUGACACUCAGAUGCGAAAGCGUGGGGAGCAAACAGGAUUAGAUACCCUGGUAGUCCACGCCGUAAACGAUGUCUACUUGGAGGUUGUGGCCUUGAGCCGUGGCUUUCGGAGCUAACGCGUUAAGUAGACCGCCUGGGGAGUACGGUCGCAAGAUUAAAACUCAAAUGAAUUGACGGGGGCCCGCACAAGCGGUGGAGCAUGUGGUUUAAUUCGAUGCAACGCGAAGAACCUUACCUACUCUUGACAUCCAGAGAACUUAGCAGAGA